GCAACAGCUCAAAUUUGAAAUCUGGCCUUCGGGUCCGAGUUGUAAUUUGGAGAGGAUGUUUCUGGCAAGGCGCCGUCCGAGUUCCUUGGAACAGGACGCCAUAGAGGGUGAGAGCCCCGUACCGGCGGAUGCCUAGCCUUUGUGAAACUCCUUCGACGAGUCGAGUAGUUUGGGAAUGCUGCUCAAAUGGGAGGUAAAUUUCUUCUAAAGCUAAAUAUUGGCCAGAGACCGAUAGCGCACAA
RNAcentral lists this ribosomal RNA (242 nucleotides) under Ophiostoma conicola. RNAcentral's name for it is "partial large subunit ribosomal RNA". It matches the Rfam family "Eukaryotic large subunit ribosomal RNA", at positions 101 to 347 of the family's 3401-position model. Lineage: Eukaryota; Fungi; Ascomycota; Sordariomycetes; Ophiostomatales; Ophiostomataceae. RNAcentral also lists the same sequence under 1 other name. The record is from RNAcentral.